RNAcentral lists this non-coding RNA (24 nucleotides) under Arabidopsis thaliana (thale cress). Lineage: Eukaryota; Viridiplantae; Streptophyta; Magnoliopsida; Brassicales; Brassicaceae. The record is from RNAcentral.
CUGAGCUGUCGAUCUGCUAAGAAC